CCCUCAAGCGUAGCUGGUAUUGGGCGUCGUCAUCCUGCGGGGGACGUGCCCCAAAAUCAGUGGCGGUCCGGUGCGACUUCAAGCGUAGUAAAUCUAUCCCGCUUUGGAAGCCUUCGCCCCGCGGCCUGCCAGCAACCUUCACCAUCGUGAAAUUUUCAAUGAUUGACCUCGGAUCAGGUAGGGAUACCCGCUGAACUUAA
RNAcentral lists this unclassified non-coding RNA (200 nucleotides) under soil metagenome. Its description in RNAcentral is "partial contains internal transcribed spacer 2 and large subunit ribosomal RNA". The record is from RNAcentral.